AGUGAACGCUGGCGGUAGGCCUAACACAUGCAAGUCGAACGGCAGCACAGUAAGAGCUUGCUCUUACGGGUGGCGAGUGGCGGACGGGUGAGGAAUACAUCGGAAUCUACUUUUUCGUGGGGGAUAACGUAGGGAAACUUACGCUAAUACCGCAUACGACCUACGGGUGAAAGCAGGGGAUCUUCGGACCUUGCGCGAUUGAAUGAGCCGAUGUCGGAUUAGCUAGUUGGCGGGGUAAAGGCCCACCAAGGCGACGAUCCGUAGCUGGUCUGAGAGGAUGAUCAGCCACACUGGAACUGAGACACGGUCCAGACUCCUACGGGAGGAAGCAGUGGGGAAUAUUGGACAAUGGGCGCAAGCCUGAUCCAGCCAUACCGCGUGGGUGAAGAAGGCCUUCGGGUUGUAAAGCCCUUUUGUUGGGAAAGAAAAGCAGCAGGUUAAUACCCCGCUGUUCUGACGGUACCAAAAGAAUAAGCACCGGCUAACUUCGUG
RNAcentral lists this ribosomal RNA (492 nucleotides) under uncultured bacterium. RNAcentral describes it as "partial 16S ribosomal RNA". It matches the Rfam family "Bacterial small subunit ribosomal RNA", at positions 29 to 507 of the family's 1533-position model. The record is from RNAcentral.